UAAUUAGUUGCUUAGCGCAAUGCGCAAAUAAAGAUUUCGUCGCAAUAGCCAAAAUGGAUACAGCUUAUUGUUACAUCUUAGAGUUGGUUCGACGCAUGUGGUGCGUGGAGCGUGGUCCAGCAAAAGUUUUAGUUUCAAUAGACUUUACCUGAAAGUUGAAACUAUACCAACGCUAAAAAACCACUCGUUACACCGCCAGUUCAAGAGUGUUUGUCUGGUGACAUUGUUUAGGGUUUCUCCAGCUCGAGCUGUCUUCCUAAUCAUUUUGUGUGCAGCGUCAUGCUUUUGCUUUCAUUAAUAAUUUGAUUUGAACACUCUGUUUGGUGUGGUUUGUGGGUGUGUGUGUUUUUACUUUUCAGUAUAGUGUGAGUACGAGUUGAGUAUGACUGUAACACAUUGCUGGGUAUUAUUUCAGGCAUUGGCAUGACAAAAAUGGACACAAAGCAUGACGCUGCCCACAAAGUGAUGCUUCAGAAAAGGAAGACAGCUCGAACUGGAGAAAUACUAAACAAUGUCACCAGACAAACUGGCAUCAAAAUGUCCACCAUCCUGUUAAAAUCAACCCAAAAAACUUGCCUUCAAUCUCAGAGCCUUAUUAAACAGCACUUACACUACCAUGUGGGACACAAUUGAGGCUGGAUGGGAAACAACCUUGUUAGGUGACAGCAUUUCGUCCAAGUUGCUGAAAGCUAAUGUUACAAUCUUUGGACAAUUUGAUGCUGCACGUAUCCAGCAAUUUGUGCCUACACAAGUUUCCAGUUUUAUUUUGUGAAAUUUUGUAUGGUGUGUUGUGUGCACAUGGGAAGUCCUAAUACAAUGUUUCAUUGGACCCAUUAAAUUAUUUGAAACCAAAUUAUUAAUGUGGCAGAAUGUCAAGUUGUAAAGUCAAGCUGCAGGCUCUUCUGAUCGAGGGCCCAUUCCCCGUAAAGUAACACUAGCUGGGGGUUUCACUGUGCCAAUUUUAUUGUUUCAGUGUGUAAACCCUAUUCCUUGCUUUCCUUGUCUAGGUUGCAAACACUCAGACCAAGAAUCCUGUGCUCCAGUACCCUUCAGUCUCCACUUUGAAUACCUAAGUGGAUUACACGUGGAAGUGGAAACCAUUAAGUGGAUAACAUCAAGAACGCGGCCAGUCUCGAUAUUUCGACAGACAAGGCCCAGGAUGGAAGCGAUGGGCGUUUUUUGAAGGUCCGCGAUGUUGGCGCAUUACAACCAAAUGUAAUUAGUUUUAAAUCGCGUAGAUUACGACUGUAAAUGUUGAUUAUUUUUAUUGUCUAAGUCACAUGGUUUUAAUCUCUCUGUCAAGCUGACGGUUGGUAAUAGAACCAGCUUGAAUAAUUCGAUGGACAAGGCCGGCAAUGGAAGCAGCAACUUCACCGUCCGCGCUAGCCUUCCGCCUUCCGUCGCCGCUCGAGAUGUCAAAGUUCAACUCAAGAGUCUGGAAGCAAAUGUCUCUGACGACAUGUCGACUGUUUACUCUACUGUCAACUCCACUUCCGAUUUGUCGAUGGAAAAUGCUUCCGCCAUGGAGGAACGUGGGAU
This is a long non-coding RNA of Daphnia pulex (common water flea), 1539 nucleotides long. RefSeq lists it as uncharacterized. The record is from RefSeq and is a predicted model, not a curated record. The transcript has 4 exons. NCBI's taxonomy places the organism in Eukaryota, Metazoa, Arthropoda, Branchiopoda, Diplostraca, Daphniidae.